ACUGCAUAAAUAAGGACACAAACAAAACAGAUAUAUUUUAUGUCUUUAUAACCUCUGCCUUUGACACCAGUUAUGUGCUGUGGGAUUCCAGAGCUCUGCAUUGGAGGACUGUAACCAUAGGAAUGAUAAAUUCCCAGAAAACUCCAAACCUGUGCAGGAUUUAUUGCUCCAGCUGGAUGCACAUAAGUCUAUCGGGCCCGAUGGGAUUUAUCGCAAGCUACAGCUGAUUGAACUACUCCAAGAGGAGCCACUCCCAGCUCUUUGUCUGGGUGCAGACUGCUGUGGUCUGUGAACACAAGUGCCAUGGGAUCUUCCCAGGUUUUUCUGGAAGCCUACAGAUUCUGAAUGGAUAAGUUCUGGGCCAGACAACAUUUUGGAAGUGAACUUCCUUUGGUGACCUUUCUUUAAAGUUGCAUGCUCUACCUUCACAUGACCAAAUGUGCAACCAUCAUAUAAUUAAAAGAUGACAACCAUGGAGUCUGAGAAUGCAAGAACAUGUCUUCUACUGCCAAGGACCAGCUGACACCCACAGAGGCACAGAAUGGGAAAUGCUGUGUGCACCAAAAGGGAGGAAGUUUAUAAAAAGAUUUUUGUUUUCAUUCAUACUGUGACCAAAGUAACGUCCCAGUUUAAACAUUAAACUCAAGAUCAUUAACUUGUCACAGUGAUUUCUGGCUUAAAACUUUAUAGUAAAAUAAGAAGGCAUAAAAAGGCUUAUUAAUUGAUAAGAUAAAGCUUGCUAAAAUGUAAUGCUUUCCAUAUUUUGUAAAGAGAAUGAUUUAAAGUUAUAUUAUUGAAACUACAUGAAUUGUUUAAGCCAGUUACUAACUCACAUGUCAUGCCUGAAAUGUAAAACUCUGACAAAAAUGCUGGGUUUCACUUUUGGAUUCCCAAAAAUGUAAAAUAUCAGGGUUUAAGUCUCUCUUUUGCUAAAAAUAAAGACAAUAUACAAAAAUGUAAUCCAUACUUAGGAAAUGUAAAGAAACACAAGCAAAUAAAUAGUGCUCACUGAGUUAAAGACUGAUGUCAGUAGCAAAUGAUUUCCAUAAGAAAAUUGACUGUCUCACACAUAGCUGUUAACUUUAACGCUGUAAAAUAGAUAGAAUUUGAAAUGAAGUGACAAUACUCAUCUCACAUUUAUUAUGUUGUCUUGGGGUUCUAAAGGUAGAGAAAUUAUUUUAUUACAUUUUCAUUUGAAAUCUGAAUGCAUUAUCAUUCCAGAGCUAGAAAAAUUAAUUUUGUAUUUUGAUCAACAAAUAGUUGCUGUUCCUGUGGAGGCUGACCUCUUCUUCUGAUUGUGGUAUUUUUCUUCCUAGAGUAGUACAGAAAGUUUCAAGCAGCUUCAUUUAUUAACAAUGGUAUAUUUCACCCACAUCAUAUAUGAACUAUCCCAUAUGCAAAAGGAAAUGAUUGACAGCAAAAAGUCAAAAUUUACCACAUCUUGUUUUCUUCAGUUUUAAUAACUCAGCUAACGGCUUUUGGUUUUGAAAACUGAUCUUAUCAGCCACUAUCACCGUCCUCAUACUUACCCUUUAUCUUUCACCAUAUUGAAAGUUUUUCUGAGAAAUAUCUGGUUUUCAAAUGAGUCAUUCCCUUUUGCUACUACUGCCUAUAGGACAGCCAUAUCCCAGAACACUGGACAGUCUGUACCUUAACUGUUUGAAACGGAGCUAAUAACUCUCAGCAUGGCUUUGCCUUGAGUAAAAUAGGUCAUUCUGGAUAUUGCCAAUAAAUGAAAGGAUUAUGACAUUUUUUCCGACUGAUCCAUUCUCUUUCAUACUUGUCAUUCAAAAGUAGACAAUGCAUCUACAG
Molecule: long non-coding RNA, 1812 nt
Filed under: Gallus gallus (chicken)
Lineage: Eukaryota; Metazoa; Chordata; Aves; Galliformes; Phasianidae
Description: lncRNA (ENSGALG00010008798.1)
Source: RNAcentral